RNAcentral lists this ribosomal RNA (440 nucleotides) under uncultured bacterium. Its description in RNAcentral is "partial 16S ribosomal RNA". It matches the Rfam family "Bacterial small subunit ribosomal RNA", at positions 338 to 795 of the family's 1533-position model. The record is from RNAcentral.
CCUACGGGAGGCAGCAGUGGGGGAUAUUGCACAAUGGGGGGAACCCUGAUGCAGCGACGCCGCGUGGGUGAAGAAGUACCUCGGCGCGUAAAGCCCUAUCAGCAGGGAAGAAAAUGACGGUACCUGAAGAAGAAGCCCCGGCUAACUACGUACCAGCAGCCGCGGUAAUACGUAGGGGGCAAGCGUUAUCCGGAUUUACUGGGUGUAAAGGGGGCGGAGACGGCGAUGCAAGCCAGGAGUGAAAGGCCGGGGCCCAACCCCGGGACUGCUCUUGAAACUGCGGGGCGGGAGUGCAGGAGGGGCAAGCGGAAUUCCUGGUGUAGCGGUGAAAUGCGUAGAUAUCAGGAGGAACACCAGUGGCGAAGGCGGCCUACUGGACUGCAACGGACGUUGAGGCUCGAAAGCGUGGGGAGCAAACAGGAUUAGAUACCCUAGUAGUC